AGCUCCAAGAGCGUAUAUUAAAGUUGUUGCAGUUAAAAAGCUCGUAGUUGGAUUUCUGCUGAGGACGACCGGUCCGCCCUCUGGGUGAGUAUCUGGCUUGGCCUUGGCAUCUUCUUGGAGAACGUAGCUGCACCUGACUGUGUGGUGCGGUAUCCAGGACUUUUACUUUGAGGAAAUUAGAGUGUUUCAAGCAAGCACACGCCUUGAAUACAUUAGCAUGGAAUAAUAAGAUAGGACCUUGGUUCUAUUUUGCUGGUUUCUAGAGCUGAGGUAAUGAUUAAUAGGGAUAGUUGGGGGCAUUCGUAUUUAACUGUCAAAGGUGAAAUUCUUGGAUUUGUUAAAGACGGACUACUGCGAAAGCAUUUGCCAAGGAUGUUUUCAUUG
Molecule: ribosomal RNA, 384 nt
Filed under: Gyrodinium sp.
Lineage: Eukaryota; Dinophyceae; Gymnodiniales; Gymnodiniaceae
Description: partial small subunit ribosomal RNA
Rfam family: Eukaryotic small subunit ribosomal RNA
Source: RNAcentral